Prionailurus viverrinus (fishing cat) is the source of this 333-nucleotide long non-coding RNA. RefSeq lists it as uncharacterized. The transcript has 3 exons. The record is from RefSeq and is a predicted model, not a curated record. NCBI's taxonomy places the organism in Eukaryota, Metazoa, Chordata, Mammalia, Carnivora, Felidae.
UUUUUUUUUUUUUGCUUCCCAUUGACUCCCAACUCACAGAGCCCAGGCUGAGAGUAAACAACUUUCCAGAAUCUCCUCAACCAUAAAAUGCUGCCUGGAUUCUGCAGUGGAAAACUUAACUUACUUAAACAAUGCCCAGGUUCCAGACACAGAGUCAACUGGAGAUGGCCACAUUUGCAGAGGCUGACUUCAAGACAUACGUUCACUUUCUCCUCUAAAUUCUAUAAACUCUGUGUCCUUGGAUGAAGCCACUAUAGCUUGGGACCUGAACCACCACAGAACUGCUUUCAUAAAGUGGCUCUCUGUCCUGCUCGCCAGCCUUUGUGGCUGGUG